GCCGGAGUGGUGAAACCUGGCAAACACGCAUCACUCAAAAUGAUGUGGGCGUAAGCCCUUGUGGGUUCAAAUCCCACCUCCGGCACCA
RNAcentral lists this transfer RNA (88 nucleotides) under Candidatus Wolfebacteria bacterium. RNAcentral describes it as "tRNA-Leu". It matches the Rfam family "tRNA". Rfam says of the family: Transfer RNA (tRNA) molecules are approximately 80 nucleotides in length. Their secondary structure includes four short double-helical elements and three loops (D, anti-codon, and T loops). The record is from RNAcentral. Lineage: Bacteria; Candidatus Wolfeibacteriota.